Molecule: ribosomal RNA, 509 nt
Filed under: uncultured Methanofollis sp.
Lineage: Archaea; Methanobacteriati; Methanobacteriota; Methanomicrobia; Methanomicrobiales; Methanomicrobiaceae
Description: bacterial SSU rRNA
Rfam family: Archaeal small subunit ribosomal RNA
Source: RNAcentral
CGAAUUCCCAAUACUAUCGGUACGGGUUGUGGGAGCAAGAGCCCGGAGAUGGAUUCUGAGACACGAAUCCAGGCCCUACGGGGCGCAGCAGGCGCGAAAACUUUACAAUGCAGGAAACUGUGAUAAGGGAACCCCGAGUGCCCGUAUGGACGGGCUGUUCAGGUGCUUAAAAACCACCUGGAGAAAGGGCCGGGCAAGACCGGUGCCAGCCGCCGCGGUAAUACCGGCGGCUCGAGUGGUGGCCACUAUUACUGGGCUUAAAGCGUCCGUAGCUUGGUCGUUAAGCCUCUGGGGAAAUCUUCCGGCUCAACCGGAAGGCGUCUCAGGGGAACUGGCGACCUAGGGAUCGGGAGAGGUGAGAGGUACUCUGGGGGUAGGAGUGAAAUCCUGUAAUCCUCAGGGGACCACCUGUGGCGAAGGCGUCUCACCAGAACGACUCCGACAGUGAGGGACGAAAGCUGGGGGAGCAAACCGGAUUAGAUACCCGGGUAGUCCCAGCCGUAAACAAU